This 424-nucleotide ribosomal RNA is filed under the name uncultured bacterium. RNAcentral describes it as "partial 16S ribosomal RNA". It matches the Rfam family "Bacterial small subunit ribosomal RNA", at positions 360 to 776 of the family's 1533-position model. The record is from RNAcentral.
AAUUUUGGACAAUGGGGGAACCCCUGAUCCAGCCAUCGCGCGUGUAUGAAGAAGGCAUUCGGGUGGUAAAGUACUUUGGGGAGAGAAGAAAAGGGAUCCCCUCAUACGGGAUACUGCUGCCGGUGUCUGCGUAAUAAGCACCGGCGAACUACGUGCAGCGAGCCGCGGGAAUACGUAGGAGUCAAGCGUUAAUCUGAAUUAUAGGGCGUAAAGCGUGUGUAUACGGUUGGGAAAGAAAGAUGUGAAAACCUUGGGCUCAAACUAGUAACUGCAUUUUUAACAGCCGAGCUAGAGUAUGUCAGAGGGGUAUAGAAUUCCACGUGUAUCAGUGAAAUGCGUAGAUAUGUGGAGCAAUACCGAUGGCGAAGGCAGCCCCCUGUGAUAAUACUGACGCUCAGACACGAAAGCGUGGGGAGCAAACAGG